RNAcentral lists this ribosomal RNA (427 nucleotides) under uncultured bacterium. RNAcentral's name for it is "partial 16S ribosomal RNA". It matches the Rfam family "Bacterial small subunit ribosomal RNA", at positions 354 to 796 of the family's 1533-position model. The record is from RNAcentral.
GUGGGGAAUAUUGGGCAAUGGGCGAAAGCCUGACCCAGCAACGCCGCGUGAGGGAAGAAGGUUUUCGGAUCGUAAACCUCUGUCCUUAGUGAAGAGAAAGAGACGGUAGCUAAGGAGGAAGCCCCGGCUAACUACGUGCCAGCAGCCGCGGUAAUACGUAGGGGGCGAGCGUUGUCCGGAAUGAUUGGGCGUAAAGGGCGCGUAGGCGGCCUGUUAAGUCCGGAGUGAAAUUCCUGCUUUCAAGGUAGGAAGUGCUUUGGAAACUGGCGGGCUGGAGUGCAGGAGAGGUUAGCGGAAUUCCCGGUGUAGCGGUGAAAUGCGUAGAGAUCGGGAGGAACACCAGUGGCGAAGGCGGCUAACUGGACUGUAACUGACGCUGAGGCGCGAAAGUGUGGGGAGCAAACAGGAUUAGAAACCCCAGUAGUCC